RNAcentral lists this ribosomal RNA (253 nucleotides) under uncultured bacterium. RNAcentral describes it as "partial 16S ribosomal RNA". It matches the Rfam family "Bacterial small subunit ribosomal RNA", at positions 524 to 776 of the family's 1533-position model. The record is from RNAcentral.
UACGAAGGGGGCUAGCGUUGCUCGGAAUCACUGGGCGUAAAGCGCACGUAGGCGGAUCGUUAAGUCAGGGGUGAAAUCCUGGAGCUCAACUCCAGAACUGCCUUUGAUAUUGGCGACCUUGAGUUCGGGAGAGGUGAGUGGAACUGCGAGUGUAGAGGUGAAAUUCGUAGAUAUUCGCAAGAACACCAGUGGCGAAGGCGGCUCACUGGCCCGAUACUGACGCUGAGGUGCGAAAGCGUGGGGAGCAAACAGG